UACGUAGGUUCCAAGCGUUACCCGGUUUUAUUGGGCGUAAAGCGUCUGUAGGUGGUUUUCUAAGUCUUGUUUCAAAGUCCCCGACUUAAUCGGGGGAAGGGGCAGGAUACUGGAAGGCUAGAGUUAUAUCGGGGUUACUGGAAUUUAUAGUGUAGGGGUAAAAUCCGUGGAUACUAUAAAGAACACCAAGCGCGAAGGCGGGUAACCAGGUAUAUACUGACACUCAGAGACGAAAGCUAGGGGAGUCAAUCAG
RNAcentral lists this ribosomal RNA (253 nucleotides) under uncultured bacterium. RNAcentral describes it as "partial 16S ribosomal RNA". It matches the Rfam family "Bacterial small subunit ribosomal RNA", at positions 524 to 776 of the family's 1533-position model. The record is from RNAcentral.